AUUGCUGUCUUUGCUAAGGGAGGCCUGCCCUGUGUGAUUUCCCUCUGCUCACUGAGUUGAAGAACACAGUUCCUGAUGAGACCAAGGUCUCUCUGCUGCUUGACUGAACUGGUUGAAAAUCACAGGCGAAGGAUUUUGCUGGAAAAGCUUGACAGCCAAGUUGGACUGAGAGUAUAAACAGAGAUACCAAAGAGCAAUCUCAUUGUGCCUUCUCCAUCAACAAAUGCCAAGCCGUGGGAUACCUUUGAAUUUGCCAGUGAUUUCUGAAAAGAAAAAAAGGAAAGGAAAUUCUUCAGCCAUAACAGGAACACUUUCAGGAAAAGAGCUGGAGAUUAUUUCACAUAUUCUGACAUAACCCAAGAAAACAACAGAUGGCAACUUCAUCCAAGUGGGUGUUAUCCACUGGGACUGCAAAACAGGAGCUUGUUUUCCAGUAACUUCCUGCCUUUCAGGUUAAAAGUUGCAGAACCUACUGCGGUGCUCUAAUGUGAGUCUCAAAUGUGGGUUAGGGUUAGAUUGUUUUAGGCAGAGUUAAGUCUGCUGUUUUCAGUAAGAUGAGAUGGAGCCCUGCCCUCAAUCAAAAUUUUGAAUCCAACUUCACUGACAAGAUUUGGGAUUUCUAAUGUGCAAUGCGUGAGUAGCAGUGAUAAUGCAGUCCAGCAGAAGAAACAGAGGUAGUAUAAAGAAAAAUAGAAUGUUGAGAAGUUGUGUGGUUAUGUGGGAAACAAAACACAGUUAGCAGAUUAAAAGGCUUGGAAGAGAAGCAGUAAGAGGACAAAGGGAAGAGAGAAGGAAUAAAGAAGGAAAGGAAGGAGGAUCAGACAGAAGAGAAAAGUGGUAGAGAGAGAAGGAAGGAAGGAGAGAAGGAUGGAUUUAAAAUACAGGAGGGCAUAUUUAGCCAUGCAGUGGUGUCACUGAACUCCUCCUGAGCAAAGUCCUUUUUCUUCAAAACUUUAGGGCCUCCAAUUGUGCAAAAAAACCCCAAUGAAAAUAAAUACUCUAAAAGUUACAAACAAUGAGACACAUUUUAAUUGGAUUUCUUUGGAUAAAAGUGGGGCAGUGUGGUAAUCACAUAUCCUUUGAAUAGAGAGAGACAUAGCUCUCCCAGGAUUUUCCUGGGAAACUCUGAGAAGCUGUGAGAAAGCUCAGUGAAAGAAUUAAAACAAUUAUUAUCUCAAUCUCUGCACCUGACAGGCAAUCUCUGUUUGUCAAAGAUGUUUACAAGAAGGAGUUGUCCCUUCUUGACCAGUAAGUGAGAGAAGAUUCCUAAAAGCCAAUCAAGUCAUUGUUUCUAUAAGAACUGUGAAUUUCUAAUAAUAAAGU
Molecule: long non-coding RNA, 1323 nt
Organism: Passer montanus (Eurasian tree sparrow)
Lineage: Eukaryota; Metazoa; Chordata; Aves; Passeriformes; Passeridae
Exons: 3
Source: RefSeq, a predicted model, not a curated record